AUUGAACGCUGGCGGCAUGCUUUACACAUGCAAGUCGAACGGUAACAGGCCUUCGGGUGCUGACGAGUGGCGAACAGGUGAGUAAUGCAUCGGAACGUGCCCAGAGGUGGGGGAUAACGCAGCGAAAGCUGUGCUAAUACCGCAUGUGAUCUGAGGAUGAAAGCGGGGGACCAAGCAGCAAUGUUUGGCCUCGCGCCUCUGGAGCGGCCGAUGUCAGAUUAGGUAGUUGGUGGGGUAAAGGCCUACCAAGCCGACGAUCUGUAGCUGGUCUGAGAGGACGACCAGCCACACUGGGACUGAGACACGGCCCAGACUCCUACGGGAGGCAGCAGUGGGGAAUUUUGGACAAUGGGCGCAAGCCUGAUCCAGCAAUGCCGCGUGCGGGAAGAAGGCCUUCGGGUUGUAAACCGCUUUUGUACGGAACGAAAAGGCUCUGGCUAAUACCUGGGGCUGAUGACGGUACCGUAAGAAUAAGCACCGGCUAACUACGUG
This 492-nucleotide ribosomal RNA is filed under the name uncultured bacterium. RNAcentral describes it as "partial 16S ribosomal RNA". It matches the Rfam family "Bacterial small subunit ribosomal RNA", at positions 30 to 507 of the family's 1533-position model. The record is from RNAcentral.